UACGAAGGGUGCAAGCGUUACUCGGAAUUACUGGGCGUAAAGCGUGCGUAGGUGGUUUGUUAAGUCUGUUGUGAAAGCCCCGGGCUCAACCUGGGAAUGGCAAUGGAUACUGGCAGGCUAGAGUGCGGUAGAGGGUAGUGGAAUUCCCGGUGUAGCGGUGAAAUGCGUAGAGAUCGGGAGGAACACCAGUGGCGAAGGCGGCUACCUGGACCAGCACUGACACUGAGGCGCGAAAGCGUGGGGAGCAAACAGG
This 253-nucleotide ribosomal RNA is filed under the name uncultured bacterium. Its description in RNAcentral is "partial 16S ribosomal RNA". It matches the Rfam family "Bacterial small subunit ribosomal RNA", at positions 524 to 776 of the family's 1533-position model. The record is from RNAcentral.